Molecule: long non-coding RNA, 730 nt
Filed under: Oryza brachyantha (malo sina)
Lineage: Eukaryota; Viridiplantae; Streptophyta; Magnoliopsida; Poales; Poaceae
Description: long non-coding RNA (OBRA_LNC001374)
Source: RNAcentral
GGCCAGGCAGGGGCGGAGGGGUGGCGUGUUGGUCCGACAGGGGCGGUGACGCCCUCCCCUCCGCUAGAUCCAGCAGGGGCGGGAGGGGAGGCGUGGUGGCACCUGACGGAUCUAGAGCCGUGGCGCAGUGGCAGCCAACGGCAGGAGGGGAGGCGGUGGCGGCCUGAUGGCAGCGCCCUCCACCUUCGCCAGCUCGAGUUCCAGCCGCCGCCUAAGCUACCACUCGCGGGCUCCGCUGACUCCACCUCCGACCGCGGGCUCUGCCGCCUCUACUACCGCCCGCGCCUCUGCCUAUCCGCUAGCUCGAGCUCCAGCCACCGCCUACGCCACCACUCGCGGGCUCUGCCGACUCCACCUCCGACCGCGGGCUCUGCCGCCUCGACUACUGCCCGCGCCUCCGCCUACACCUCCACCGGCCCAAGCUUGCAGGCGUCGGCCGGAUCUGGAGCUCCUGGGCGGAUCCAGGUCCCAACCGCCAGAUCUGGCCGUGGUGAUGAUUUUUUUGAUUUUGUUUUGUGCCCAAAUGAUUGUGAAUGUGAAGUGAUUUUGUUCUUUGGCCAGAUGAACGUGAUUGUGAUGUUUCUUGUGAUUCUAUUUUGUGUCAAAAUGAUUGUGAAUGUGAUUAUUUUUGUGAUUUGUUAAUGUCUAAUAAAAGUCUGCGACUGGCUGUGCUUAUAAUUUUUUUUGCCACAUUCUUUAGGUCUGUAACGGGUCUCAAUCGAGACCCCUC